AGUCGAGCGAGCUUGCCUAGAUGAUUUUAGUGCUUGCACUAAAUGAGACUAGAUACAAGCGAGCGGCGGACGGGUGAGUAACACGUGGGUAACCUGCCCAAGAGACUGGGAUAACACCUGGAAACAGAUGCUAAUACCGGAUAACAACACUAGACGCAUGUCUAGAGUUUGAAAGAUGGUUCUGCUAUCACUCUUGGAUGGACCUGCGGUGCAUUAGCUAGUUGGUAAGGUAACGGCUUACCAAGGCAAUGAUGCAUAGCCGAGUUGAGAGACUGAUCGGCCACAUUGGGACUGAGACACGGCCCAAACUCCUACGGGAGGCAGCAGUAGGGAAUCUUCCACAAUGGACGAAAGUCUGAUGGAGCAACGCCGCGUGAGUGAAGAAGGGUUUCGGCUCGUAAAGCUCUGUUGGUAGUGAAGAAAGAUAGAGGUAGUAACUGGCCUUUAUUUGACGGUAAUUACUUAGAAAGUCACGGCUAACUACGUGCCAGCAGCCGCGGUAAUACGUAGGUGGCAAGCGUUGUCCGGAUUUAUUGGGCGUAAAGCGAGUGCAGGCGGUUCAAUAAGUCUGAUGUGAAAGCCUUCGGCUCAACCGGAGAAUUGCAUCAGAAACUGUUGAACUUGAGUGCAGAAGAGGAGAGUGGAACUCCAUGUGUAGCGGUGGAAUGCGUAGAUAUAUGGAAGAACACCAGUGGCGAAGGCGGCUCUCUGGUCUGCAACUGACGCUGAGGCUCGAAAGCAUGGGUAGCGAACAGGAUUAGAUACCCUGGUAGUCCAUGC
This 780-nucleotide ribosomal RNA is filed under the name uncultured bacterium. RNAcentral describes it as "bacterial SSU rRNA". It matches the Rfam family "Bacterial small subunit ribosomal RNA", at positions 60 to 800 of the family's 1533-position model. The record is from RNAcentral.